UACGUAGGGUGCAAGCGUUAAUCGGAAUUACUGGGCGUAAAGCGUGCGCAGGCGGUUGUGUAAGACAGAUGUGAAAUCCCCGGGCUCAACCUGGGAACUGCAUUUGUGACUGCACAGCUGGAGUGCGGCAGAGGGGGAUGGAAUUCCGCGUGUAGCAGUGAAAUGCGUAGAUAUGCGGAGGAACACCGACGGCGAAGGCAAUCCCCUGGGCCUGCACUGACGCUCAUGCACGAAAGCGUGGGGAGCAAACAGG
RNAcentral lists this ribosomal RNA (253 nucleotides) under uncultured bacterium. RNAcentral describes it as "partial 16S ribosomal RNA". It matches the Rfam family "Bacterial small subunit ribosomal RNA", at positions 524 to 776 of the family's 1533-position model. The record is from RNAcentral.